This 423-nucleotide ribosomal RNA is filed under the name uncultured bacterium. RNAcentral's name for it is "partial 16S ribosomal RNA". It matches the Rfam family "Bacterial small subunit ribosomal RNA", at positions 361 to 776 of the family's 1533-position model. The record is from RNAcentral.
AUACGCGACAAUGGGCGAAAGCCUGAUCCAGCCAUGCCGCGUGUUUGAAGAACGUCUUCUGCUCGUAUAGCACGUUAAGUUGGGAGUAAGGGUUGUCGGUUAAUACCCUGCAAUUUGCACGUUACCAACAGAAUAAGCCCCGGCUAACUUCUCGCCAGCGGCCGCGGUAAUACGAAGGGUGCAAGCGUUAAUCGGAAUUACUGGGCCCAAAGCGCGCGUAGGUGGUUCGUUAAGUUGGAAGUAAAAGCCCCGGGCUCAACCUGGGAACUGCUUUCAAAACUGGCAAGCUAGAGUAUGGCAGAGGGUGGUGGAAUUUCCUGUGUAGCGGUGAAAUGCGUAGAUAUAGGAAGGAACACCAGUGGCGAAGGCGACCACCUGGGCUAAUACUGACACUGAGGUGCGAAAGCGUGGGGAGCAAACAGG